Molecule: ribosomal RNA, 249 nt
Filed under: uncultured bacterium
Lineage: Bacteria
Description: partial 16S ribosomal RNA
Rfam family: Bacterial small subunit ribosomal RNA
Source: RNAcentral
GACGAACGCUGGCGGCGUGCUUAACACAUGCAAGUCGAACGGAAAGGCCCUGCUUGCAGGGUGGCUCGAGUGGCGAACGGGUGAGUAACACGUGGGUGAUCUGCCCUCGCACUUCGGGAUAAGCUUGGGAAACUGGGUCUAAUACCGGAUAGGACUACGGCCUGCAUGGGUUGUGGUGGAAAGUGCGGUGUGUAAAAGACNCUGUGCGGUGUGGGAUGGGCCCGCGGCCUACAGCUUGUUGGUGGGGNG